GGUAAAAUGGCUGAGUUUAGGCAAUAAAUUGUAAAUUUAUUCACGAAUUUUAAUUCUUUUAUCA
RNAcentral lists this transfer RNA (64 nucleotides) under Longitarsus tabidus. RNAcentral describes it as "tRNA-Tyr". Lineage: Eukaryota; Metazoa; Arthropoda; Insecta; Coleoptera; Chrysomelidae. The record is from RNAcentral.